Molecule: long non-coding RNA, 215 nt
Filed under: Hordeum vulgare
Lineage: Eukaryota; Viridiplantae; Streptophyta; Magnoliopsida; Poales; Poaceae
Description: long non-coding RNA (HVUL_LNC020227)
Source: RNAcentral
UACCAGGUCUCGGACGUAGGUUGUAGGGGUGGAAGUGCGGGCUGCGAGGUUAGGGACGCCGGCGCCGGCGGUUGGGCGCCGUCGCGGCGUGAGAGAGAGAGAGAGGGAGGCGGCUAGGGUUUGGGGCUCUCGUCUCCUGAGGGAGACGACAACAGAAUAUACUGUUUAUUGUCUGAUUAAUAUCGAAGGGGUACAUGUGUUUAUAAAGGAGGACA